This 253-nucleotide ribosomal RNA is filed under the name uncultured bacterium. Its description in RNAcentral is "partial 16S ribosomal RNA". It matches the Rfam family "Bacterial small subunit ribosomal RNA", at positions 524 to 776 of the family's 1533-position model. The record is from RNAcentral.
UACAGAGGUCUCAAGCGUUGUUCGGAUUCAUUGGGCGUAAAGGGUGCGUAGGUGGCGCUGUAAGUCGGGUGUGAAAUUUCGGAGCUUAACUCCGAAACUGCAUUCGAUACUGUGGUGCUUGAGGACUGGAGAGGAGACUGGAAUUCAUGGUGUAGCAGUGAAAUGCGUAGAGAUCAUGAGGAAGACCGGUGGCGAAGGCGGGUCUCUGGACAGUUCCUGACACUGAGGCACGAAGGCCAGGGGAGCAAACGGG